Molecule: long non-coding RNA, 88 nt
Organism: Xenia sp. Carnegie-2017
Lineage: Eukaryota; Metazoa; Cnidaria; Anthozoa; Malacalcyonacea; Xeniidae
Exons: 4
Source: RefSeq, a predicted model, not a curated record
GGGGGAUGGUAAAAAUGUUUCCCAGAGGGGUGAACAAUUUAUUCAGGGGAGUAAAAUGGGAUGUUUGGGGGUCCCCAGGUACUCUGCG